RNAcentral lists this ribosomal RNA (716 nucleotides) under uncultured bacterium. Its description in RNAcentral is "bacterial SSU rRNA". It matches the Rfam family "Bacterial small subunit ribosomal RNA", at positions 741 to 1460 of the family's 1533-position model. The record is from RNAcentral.
UGACGCUGAAGCACUAAGGCCAGGGGAGCGAAGGGGAUUAGAUACCCCCGUAGUCCUGGCUUCAAACGAUGUGGGCUUGGUGUCGGCCCCCUACAGAGGGUCGUUGCCGGAGCUAACGUGUUAAGCCCACCGCCUGGGGAUUACGUCCGCAAGGAUGAAACUCAAGGGAAUUGACGGGGGCCCACACAACCGGUGGAGCACGUGGUUUAAUUCGAUGAUAAGCGAAGAACCUUACCAGGGCUUGACCUAGCGGUAGUAGGAUCCUGAAAGGGAAACGACCUCAAGCUUUGCUUGAGGAGCCGUGGCAGGUAUUGCAUGGCUGUCGUCAGCUCGUGUCGUGGGACGUUGGGUUAAGUCCCGUAACGAGCGCAACCCCUGCUCUUAAUUGCCAGCGGGUAAUGCCGGGUACUAUAAGGGGACUGCCGGAGAAUAUCCGGAGGAAGGAGGGGAUGACGUCAAGUCAUUAUGAUCCUUAUGCUCUGGGCGACACACGUGCUACAAUGGGCACUACAAUGAGGAGCAAGUCUGCAAGGACGAGCAAAUCUCAAAAAGGUGCCCCCAGUGCGGAUUGGGGUCUGCAACCCGACCCCAUGAAGAUGGAAUCGGUAGUAAUCGCGGGUCAGCCAUACCGCGGUGAAUAUGUACUUGGGCCUUGUACACACCGCCCGUCACACCAAUCGAGUAGGCGACACCCGAAGUCGACGUAUGUUGCCGAA